This 253-nucleotide ribosomal RNA is filed under the name uncultured bacterium. RNAcentral describes it as "partial 16S ribosomal RNA". It matches the Rfam family "Bacterial small subunit ribosomal RNA", at positions 524 to 776 of the family's 1533-position model. The record is from RNAcentral.
UACGAAGGGGGCUAGCGUUACUCGGAUUGACUGGGCGUAAAGGGCGCGUAGGCGGUUUGUACAGUCAGACGUGAAAUUCCUGGGCUCAACCUGGGGGCUGCGUUUGAUACGUGCAGACUUGAGUUCGGAAGAGGGUCGUGGAAUUCCCAGUGUAGAGGUGAAAUUCGUAGAUAUUGGGAAGAACACCGGUGGCGAAGGCGGCGACCUGGUCCGAUACUGACGCUGAGGCGCGAAAGCGUGGGGAGCAAACAGG